This is a long non-coding RNA of Prosopis cineraria, 439 nucleotides long. RefSeq lists it as uncharacterized. The record is from RefSeq and is a predicted model, not a curated record. NCBI's taxonomy places the organism in Eukaryota, Viridiplantae, Streptophyta, Magnoliopsida, Fabales, Fabaceae. The transcript has 2 exons.
UUGAAACCCUAACCUCAUAUCGUUCCCAGGAACGAUGUACCGGCCUAUUAUGACUAUAAAUUGAAUUCCACCCCUGAACCCUAGUCGGCCAUAUUGCAUCUUCAGCUUCUGGCUUCUGGUGCUGCGGGAGCGGCCGGGUAUCAUCUUACUCAGUCUGCAGGCGACGGCUACAAAUCCAAAAGAACGGACGAAGAUCAUGUGUAGACAUCAAUCACAGAAAAAGUCUGAAUUUAUGGCAACGGUUAACGUUUUUAAGAAUUUAAGCAAUUGGAAAAGUGUCAUCAAGAGGCUGGAUUUACAUGUUAUAUGCUUUUAUAUGUCACUGAAAAAGACACAAAGAUAGCCGUCAUAUAUUAUCUGUAAUUAAAUAUUUUGAUAGAAUAAUAAAAUAAAAUGCUUUAUAGGUUGAAUCAUAUAAAGCUGGUCAAAACUCAGAUAA